GCGGACAUAGCUCAAUGGUAGAGCAGAAGGUUUCCAACCUUAAUGUUGCAGGUUCAAGUCCUGUUGUCCGCU
Molecule: transfer RNA, 72 nt
Filed under: Campylobacterota bacterium
Lineage: Bacteria; Pseudomonadati; Campylobacterota
Description: Epsilonproteobacteria bacterium tRNA-Gly
Rfam family: tRNA
About the family: Transfer RNA (tRNA) molecules are approximately 80 nucleotides in length. Their secondary structure includes four short double-helical elements and three loops (D, anti-codon, and T loops).
Source: RNAcentral